AUUGAAGGCAAAAGGAAUAGAGUAUAAUUUGGCUCAACAGGAUGGAAUGUUGGUGCCAUCUCUUAAGAUUUAAAAUGCACGAGAGAGAAGGAAAUCUUUUAGAGAGGCAUGUCAAGAUUCUAUUUCUAUAGGAAGCCACUGCCUCCCCUGGCUGUGCCACAGCGACCUAACAGUGAUGCUCAUGAUGUGAUCUCAUAAACAAGACGUAUGGAGGAGUUCUCUUAAUAUCAGCAAGGUGAACUGGGACAUUCUUCUUUCUCAGAAGAAGAAACAUCUUGUAAAUUGAUGACUGGGGCAAGAUAACCAUAAUAAUUUUAGUGAGAAGAUUAAUACUCAAGGACCUGACUUGAUAAUUACUUAUUUGUGUUUUUCAUGGUUAAAAAAAUAAAAGAAGCACAAUGACCAGUACAUGAAAUCAGCAUUUGGACCAAAUUAGCAAGAUUUACUGUUGACUCUGGUUUAUACAUCCCCACUCAUGAGCAUACUUCUGAAGGAAAACUUUACAAAAAGAGCCAAUGGACUCAGCACUUUCUUUACUAUUUGUUCAAUAGCCUAUAUUUCUAGAUAUUAAAUAUUUUUUGUAAGAUAUAUGCACAUAGAAGGGGGACUUCUAGGAAUUUAUAACCAAAAUUUUAAAACUAUUUUUAUAUUUUUUUAAAUCUUUAAAAAUUUUAAUUACUGUGAUAUUGAUUAUACACCUUUUUUAUAGAUGAUUUGUUUAAAUUAUAUCUGGAAAAUAGAGUUGAUUUACUUUCAGACAUGAACUAUACAAACAGGAUAUAUUUAUAUGGCUUGAGGUAUGUUUUGUAAUAGCGUUGUUCUUUAAGUGUACAUCGUAAUUUGACCUAAUUUAAAAAUAAUAUAUUUUCGAAGUAGUAGAUUCUCAGAUCUUUAUUCUAACAAUUACAUGAUUUGAAAACAGUACUCAAUGAGACUGGAAAUACCUUUUGUACCUAAAUGUUUUUUAAAUUAAUCAAAAUACAUUCUGUGAGAUACUAUUAAAAGUCUCAGUAAAGUCCUAUUUUAAAGGUUAGACACUUUCAGAGAUCAAGGUGCUCCCUAUACUCCCUUGUUCCAUCAGAAGCUGCAGUGACUCUUUUAGGUGAUUCUAAUUCUUUCAUGCCUUGAAAUUAAACUAUGAAAUUAAAGGCAGAAAAACUGGAAAACCUACUGCAGGUCCAGAGACUUCUGUUUUACAACUGGGAAACAGCUUGUGUACUAAAGUAAUGAGAAUAAAAAUGUUGGCCCAAAAUUACUUUUAUAAAUAAAUAAUUCCAAAAUAAUUUCUUAAUUUAAAAUGAUAGCACUUCUCUUGCACUUAAGAAUGGCAUCCAUAAGAUUCUGUAUUUGGCAUUUAGACUAACUUCUAGAUGUAUAUUUUUAAUAAUAGAUUCAUAAUGUUACAUUUAAUUGAAAACAAACCUUUAUAUCCAAUGAAAAUAGUAUAAACAGAAUGAUUUUUAUACCACCUUGUUAAGAUUGGUGCUUUUGGUAACUUGUACUGACACAACAGACAUGUGCUAGUAUCUGAUAACAUUAAGUACAUUUUAUGUCGUUUAAUAUAAUUAUUUACUUUAAAAAUUGUACUUCAGAACAUCAGAUUUUAUUCACAUUUUUUAACUCACUGAACUUUAAUAAUCAGGUCACCUGUACUCUAGUCAGCACUGUAUAUAUUCUUGGAGUUUGUACAUGGGACUUAGCAACCACACUGAGUGAGGUAAAAGCAUUUGAUUUCAGAUCUAAAAUUCGUAACAACCUAAAUUUGAGAGGUGGCUGAAAUGUGAUGAAAAGCAAUACGAAAAGACAAUGUAAACUUUGAAAAGGAUUUUAGAGGGAAAAUUGCAUAGCUUUUUGUAACAUUUACUUAAUUUUAAAACUAAACUCAUACUUUUGCUAUCUUUUUAAUAUUUAUCUCGUUUGGGAGUAUACGUGUUUUUAAAAUUUGUGUUUUCUAUCUGUUUACUAUAGUGUAGCUACUGGCUUCAUUUAAUAAAAAUAAAUGAUUUUGAAAUUAAAUAUAAUAUAGAAUUCACAUUUUAUAUAGCUCUCUCAAAAAUUAAUUUUUAUUCCUUAAGCAUUUUAAAAACAUUUUAAAAAAUGUUUUGUAAAUCCAGGUGUAUUUUAACAAUUAAAUGCCUAUUUUGUUAUAUGUUAUACUUUUAUUCUUAAUUCUGAAUUUUGACAUUUUCACACAAUAAAAAUAAUUUAUAUCAAUAUUCUGUUUCUCUUUUCAAUUGGUAGAUUUAAAUGAUUUCCUUUGGGUAAUAAAAUAGGUAAAGAUUUUAAAAUAUGAUUAUUGAAAAACAGUUUAAAUCAGUAGAUUAAAAUAAUGCAUUUUUUUGAUACUUUACACACAAAACUUUUUUCUCUCUGCAAGUUUUUAUGUAUGUGGGAAAGAAUUUGUGAUUUUAAAUGCAGCUACAAAUAGC
RNAcentral lists this long non-coding RNA (2429 nucleotides) under Homo sapiens (human). RNAcentral describes it as "HSALNT0057201". Lineage: Eukaryota; Metazoa; Chordata; Mammalia; Primates; Hominidae. The record is from RNAcentral.